RNAcentral lists this ribosomal RNA (406 nucleotides) under uncultured bacterium. RNAcentral's name for it is "partial 16S ribosomal RNA". It matches the Rfam family "Bacterial small subunit ribosomal RNA", at positions 30 to 526 of the family's 1533-position model. The record is from RNAcentral.
AUUGAACGCUGGCGGCAGGCCUAACACAUGCAAGUCGGACGAGUGGCGGACGAGUGAGUAAUGGCUGGGCAACUGCCCGAUGGUGGAGGAUAACUAAUGUAAACGGUAGCUAAUACCGCAUACCAUCGGAUGUGCCCAGAUGGGAUUAGCCAGUAGGUUGGGUAACGGCUCACCUGGGCGACGAUCCCUAGCUGGUCUGGGAGGAUGACCAGCGACACUGGAACUGAGACACGGUACAGAAUCCGACGGGAGGCAGCAGUGGGGAAUAUUGCACAAUGGGCGCAAGCCGGAUGCAGCCAUGCCGCGUGUAUGAAGAAGGCCUUCGGGUUGGAAAGUACGUUCAGCGAUGAGGCGUUACUCGCCGAAGAAGCACUGGCUAACUCCGUGCCAGCCGCCGCGGUAAUAC